UUUACAGAGAUCUACUAGCUACUCAGUGUACCAAUGAAAUACAAAAAAAUAACAACAACAAAACAGUACAUUAAGUUUUUCUAUAAGUAAGAACUCUCUAAGAACCAAAGAACUUUGCAGUAAUUCGUGUAUGUUCCCAGAGGUUAUACGACACGCAGGCUGAGAGACCCUGACGCUUGUCUCUAUUCUAACGGGACUGUGUCACGAGUGAUGCAAGGGCACACACAAAGGGAGAGCUCACCAUUCAUAUGACGUAAUGUAAGCAUUUCUGUAAUACGGGUGGCCGAUUCUCAUGAUAGCAUCCGUUAGGAAUUUCUCAUGCACAAGAGACCACAGUACCUUAUUAAGAAUACCCUUCUAAUCUGUAAUCCUAUAAGGGAAGAAACUCUAACGAAUUAAAAGACUAUU
This is a long non-coding RNA of Biomphalaria glabrata, 408 nucleotides long. RefSeq lists it as uncharacterized. The transcript is spliced from 3 exons. The record is from RefSeq and is a predicted model, not a curated record. NCBI's taxonomy places the organism in Eukaryota, Metazoa, Mollusca, Gastropoda, Planorbidae.